UGUGUGCCACUUUUAUCAUAGUCAGCGAUAAAAACAAGUUUUUUACAGCAAAAUAGCAACAACUAACGAGAAUAACCGCUUUAAACGCUGACUGCAGCUCCGGUGACAACUAUUAUGAGCAAACGUAUCCAAGUUUCUGGCCGGGCAGAGGCACCACACACACACACACACACACACUCUGAGAGAGGUACAAACGUUGUGUGUGUGUGUGUGUGUGCAUGUAAUCUGAGCAACCUUUUAUAAAAAUUCUUAAGCUGGCGUCAGCGUUUUAUCGCCGCCAAGUAAAUUGUGGCAAAAAUAUUAUUAGUAAUAAAUAUUUGUUCAAUGGCGGCGACCAGUGUUCUAAAAGUUGUUGUUGCUAUUACAGAGCGUGCCCGCCGGGUCGGCAUAUCUUGUUCAUGAAUCAAAGCGAGGCGAAGGCGCGCGCACGCACACACAGAGGGAAGGCGUAGUAGAUAUAAUAAGCAAACAGGGGAGCCACCAGUUCCCGAGCAUCUUAUCAGCCCGGGCACAUGUGAAAACUGGACUUGAACUUGGCUGCGGCUGCUCUUGCUGGUUGUCUACGCUGCAAAGCGUUUCGAAUCGCAUCGAACUGUAACUGUUUAUAACGAACAAAAUGCAUUUUUCAAACGUAAACCAACACACACACACACACACACAUGCACAGACGCACGCACGAACAGGCACUCGACACAAGCACACACUAACACACAUAUGUAUGUAUUAAGCGCGACACGGUUAUUCGAAUAAACACACGUUGGAAUAGACACUGAAAUAUAUCCACCGAUUUACGUACUUUGUGCACAUGCAGCGCUUUUUAGUUUAUGAAAUUGUAAUUUAAAGCUCAAUUGUGCUUCACAUGUUCAGUUUUGUUGAAACGCACGUACUGCUAUCUAUCCGCUUUAUGGAGUGCAGAGCGACAAACAACACACA
Molecule: non-coding RNA, 933 nt
Organism: Drosophila virilis
Lineage: Eukaryota; Metazoa; Arthropoda; Insecta; Diptera; Drosophilidae
Source: RefSeq, a predicted model, not a curated record